This 317-nucleotide unclassified non-coding RNA is filed under the name plant metagenome. Its description in RNAcentral is "partial contains 5.8S ribosomal RNA, internal transcribed spacer 2, and large subunit ribosomal RNA". The stretch from base 1 to 105 matches the Rfam family "5.8S ribosomal RNA", at positions 50 to 154 of the family's 154-position model. The record is from RNAcentral.
AAAAUGCGAUAAGUAAUGUGAAUUGCAGAAUUCAGUGAAUCAUCGAAUCUUUGAACGCACAUUGCGCCCGCCAGUAUUCUGGCGGGCAUGCCUGUUCGAGCGUCAUUUCAACCCUCAAGCCCCCCGGGUUUGGUGUUGGGGAUCGGGCUGCGGUUCUGCCGCGUCCCGGCCCCGAAAUCUAGUGGCGGUCUCGCUGCAGCCUCCAUUGCGUAGUAGCUAACACCUCGCAACUGGAACGCGGCGCGGCCAAGCCGUUAAACCCCCCAACUUCUGAAUGUUGACCUCGGAUCAGGUAGGAAUACCCGCUGAACUUAAGC